Molecule: ribosomal RNA, 293 nt
Filed under: uncultured eukaryote
Lineage: Eukaryota
Description: partial 18S ribosomal RNA
Rfam family: Eukaryotic small subunit ribosomal RNA
Source: RNAcentral
GGUUGAUCCUGCCAGUAGUCAUAUGCUCAUUUCGAAGACUAAGCCAUGCAUGUCUAAGUAUAAGUUGUUAUACAACGAAACUGCGAAUAGCUCAUUAAAACAAUUAUCGUUCUAUGUGGACAAGAACUACUACACGGAUACCUGUGGUAAUUCUGGAGCUAAUACGUGAUUUAACAUCCAUUUGGAUGUCACUUAUUAGAUAAGAACCAAUUGCGCCCGCGCAUAUCUCUGGUGAUCCAUAAUAAGGUCGUGAAUCGCAUGGUUAAUACCGGCGAUAUUCCACCUGAGUUUUU